RNAcentral lists this ribosomal RNA (483 nucleotides) under uncultured bacterium. RNAcentral describes it as "partial 16S ribosomal RNA". It matches the Rfam family "Bacterial small subunit ribosomal RNA", at positions 30 to 507 of the family's 1533-position model. The record is from RNAcentral.
AUUGAACGCUGGCGGCAGGCCUAACACAUGCCAGUCGAGCGGAUGAAUGGAGCUUGCUCCUUGAUUCAGCUGCGGACGGGUGAGUAAUGCCUAGGAAUCUACCUGUUGGUGGGGGAUAACGUCCGGAAACGGGCGCUAAUACCGCAUACGUCCUUAGGGAGAAAGUGUGGGAUCUUCGGACCUCACGCUAUCAGAUGAGCCUAGGUGGUAUUAGCUAGUUGGUGGGGUAAAGGCCUACCAAGGCGACGAUCCGUGACUGGUCUGAGAGGAUGAUCAGUAAAACUGGAACUGAGCAACGGCCCAACUCCUUACGGGAGGAAGAAGAGGGGAAUUUUGGCAAAUGGGCGAAAGCCUGACCAAGACAGGCGGCGUGGGUGAAGAAGGUCUCCGGACGGUAAAGCCUUUUAAGAUGGGAGGAGGGCAGUAAGUUAAUACCUUGCUGUUUUGACGGUACCAAAAGAAUAAGCACCGGCUAACUUCGUG